GCACCGGCUAACUCCGUGCCAGCAGCCGCGGUAAUACGGAGGGUGCGAGCGUUAAUCGGAAUUACUGGGCGUAAAGCGCAUGCAGGUGGUUUGUUAAGUCAGAUGUGAAAGACCCGGGGCGUCAACCUCGGAAUAGCAUUUGUAAACUAGGCAGACUAGAGUACUGUAGAGGGGGGUAGGAAUUUCUAGGUGUAGCGGUGAAAUGCGUAGAGAUCUGAAGGAAUACCGGUGGCGAAGGCGGCCCCCUCGGACAGAUACUGACACUCAGAUGCGAAAGCGUGGGGAGCAAACAGGAUUAGAUACCCUGGUAG
RNAcentral lists this ribosomal RNA (311 nucleotides) under uncultured bacterium. Its description in RNAcentral is "bacterial SSU rRNA". It matches the Rfam family "Bacterial small subunit ribosomal RNA", at positions 490 to 793 of the family's 1533-position model. The record is from RNAcentral.